GCUGAGUGCAGUGGUGCACACCUGUAAUCCUAGCAGCUUGGGAGGCUGAGGCAGGGGGAUCUUGAGUUCAAAGCCAGCCUCAGCAAAAGUGAGGCACUAAUCAACUAAUCAAGACCCUGUCUCUA
This 125-nucleotide small RNA is filed under the name Marmota monax (woodchuck). Lineage: Eukaryota; Metazoa; Chordata; Mammalia; Rodentia; Sciuridae. The record is from RNAcentral.